This is a long non-coding RNA of Hylaeus volcanicus, 778 nucleotides long. RefSeq lists it as uncharacterized. The record is from RefSeq and is a predicted model, not a curated record. NCBI's taxonomy places the organism in Eukaryota, Metazoa, Arthropoda, Insecta, Hymenoptera, Colletidae. The transcript has 3 exons.
UUAAAAGCGCUGACCAUAUGAUAGACUUCUAUCUGAUUGUAAUAAUAGGUGGAAAUAGAUCUGCACGAUCUAAACACCCAUAAAGUGGCAAUAAAGAACCAACAACAAAAGUUCUGUCUGACGGAAUUCAACCUUAAAAAAAUAUAUGUAGGAUAUGGGAACUGGAUUUGAAAGUGACAGGUUUUGAUUAAUAACCUCUGUUAUUGUCAUUUAAAGUGUAUUUUUCCCAAGUGUACUAGUCAAAACAAAACUCAAAUACAGAAAUAAUUGAUAUAAUACAAUUACAGUUACAAUUAGUUGUUCAAAUGGUCGUUGUGCAAACAAGUACGCGGCUACUUCGAAAUGACAACCGAAUUGACAAACAAAGGUAUAAAUGAUAACAGGGGCAUCUCUGCGCCUACGAGAUGACAACUAAACCGACAAACCGGCUAGCAUCGGUUGCCGCAUAACAGGAGCAACUCUGCGCCUAACGAGAUGACAAUCGAACCAUCAAGCAGAGUACUACUGGUUGCUGCAUACUGGGGACAUCCGUGCAUAAAAAUAAAAGAAAUGCGUGCAAAUACAUAGACAUAAGUGAAAAGAUGUACAAAUAGUUCUAAGUCAGCAGUAUUAAAAUAACUUGUAAUUAUAUAGUAACUUUAAUAAACAAUCAAACAAAUAAACGUGUCAGAUUUUAUUCGUGCCACUCUUCCCAUAUCAUGUUCUCCUGUUAUGCUCAAAGUUCAACAAUGUUGCAAAUGUCGAAAACGCUCCGCUCAAAGUUGCAACAAAGUUGCAA